CAGCCGCCGCGGGAAUACGUAGGUGGCAAGCGUUGUCCGGAAUUAUUGGGCGUAAAGCGUGCGUAGGCGGUUCGUUAAGUCUGUUGUGAAAGCCCCGGGCUCAACCUGGGAAUGGCAAUGGAUACUGGCGAGCUAGAGUGUGUCAGAGGAUGGUGGAAUUCCCGGUGUAGCGGUGAAAUGCGUAGAGAUCGGGAGGAACAUCAGUGGCGAAGGCGGCCAUCUGGGACAACACUGACGCUGAGGCACGAAAGCGUGGGGAGCAAACAGGAUUAGAUACCCCGGUAGUCCCUGUCUCUUAUAU
This 301-nucleotide ribosomal RNA is filed under the name uncultured bacterium. RNAcentral describes it as "partial 16S ribosomal RNA". It matches the Rfam family "Bacterial small subunit ribosomal RNA", at positions 509 to 809 of the family's 1533-position model. The record is from RNAcentral.